AGAGUUUGAUCAUGGCUACAGGACGAACGCUGGCGGCGCGCUUAAUACAUGCAAGUCGAACGAGAAGCCAGAGCUUGCUCUGGUGGAAAGUGGCGAACGGGUGAGUAACACGUGAGAAACCUGCCCCAAAGAUUGGGAUAAGCCUUGGAAACGAGGUCUAAUACCAAAUACCUUCUUUUUAACACAUGUUAAAAGAGAAAUGCUCCGGCGCUUUGGGAUGGUCUCGCGAUCUAUCAGCUUGUUGGUGAGGUAAACGGGCUCACCAAGGCAUCGACGGAUAGCUGGUCUGAGAGGAUGUCCAGCCACAUUGGAACUGAGACACGGUCCAAACUCCUACGGGAGGCAGCAGUAGGGAAUCUUGCACAAUGAGGGAAACCUUGAUGCAGCGACGCCGCGUGCGGGACGAAGGCCCUAGGGUUGUAAACCGCUUUCAGUAGGGACGAAAGUGACGGUACCUACAGAAGAAGCCCCGGCCAACUAUGUG
RNAcentral lists this ribosomal RNA (484 nucleotides) under uncultured bacterium. RNAcentral's name for it is "bacterial SSU rRNA". It matches the Rfam family "Bacterial small subunit ribosomal RNA", at positions 8 to 507 of the family's 1533-position model. The record is from RNAcentral.